AUGCUCGAAUAUUUAUUGAAGUAGAUGUUUCUAAACUACUUGUAGAGGUAAUUGAUCUCUCCGCCCCCUAUGAGGAGUUUUAACAAACAGUUGAGUAGGAUUGGAAACCCAAAUUUUUCAAGCAUUCUAUGAAAUUUCAGUAUAACUUAAAGGACUGCUGGAAUGGAUCAGAGAAAGGUGAAAAGGAACUAAAAUUCAAUGAGAUGAGGAGGAAGAAACAAUGAAAUAGACGUAGACAUAAAUCACCUUUAUGGUA
Molecule: long non-coding RNA, 256 nt
Filed under: Capsicum annuum
Lineage: Eukaryota; Viridiplantae; Streptophyta; Magnoliopsida; Solanales; Solanaceae
Description: long non-coding RNA (CANN_LNC001523)
Source: RNAcentral